Molecule: ribosomal RNA, 1523 nt
Filed under: Escherichia coli
Lineage: Bacteria; Pseudomonadati; Pseudomonadota; Gammaproteobacteria; Enterobacterales; Enterobacteriaceae
Description: bacterial SSU rRNA
Rfam family: Bacterial small subunit ribosomal RNA
Source: RNAcentral
AGAGUUUGAUCAUGGCUCAGAUUGAACGCUGGCGGCAGGCCUAACACAUGCAAGUCGAACGGUAACAGAAAGCAGCUUACUGCUUUGCUGACGAGUGGCGGACGGGUGAGUAAUGUCUGGGAAACUGCCUGAUGGAGGGGGAUAACUACUGGAAACGGUAGCUAAUACCGCAUAAUGUCGCAAGACCAAAGAGGGGGACCUUCGGGCCUCUUGCCAUCGGAUGUGCCCAGAUGGGAUUAGCUAGUAGGUGGGGUAACGGCUCACCUAGGCGACGAUCCCUAGCUGGUCUGAGAGGAUGACCAGCCACACUGGAACUGAGACACGGUCCAGACUCCUACGGGAGGCAGCAGUGGGGAAUAUUGCACAAUGGGCGCAAGCCUGAUGCAGCCAUGCCGCGUGUAUGAAGAAGGCCUUCGGGUUGUAAAGUACUUUCAGCGGGGAGGAAGGGAGUAAAGUUAAUACCUUUGCUCAUUGACGUUACCCGCAGAAGAAGCACCGGCUAACUCCGUGCCAGCAGCCGCGGUAAUACGGAGGGUGCAAGCGUUAAUCGGAAUUACUGGGCGUAAAGCGCACGCAGGCGGUUUGUUAAGUCAGAUGUGAAAUCCCCGGGCUCAACCUGGGAACUGCAUCUGAUACUGGCAAGCUUGAGUCUCGUAGAGGGGGGUAGAAUUCCAGGUGUAGCGGUGAAAUGCGUAGAGAUCUGGAGGAAUACCGGUGGCGAAGGCGGCCCCCUGGACGAAGACUGACGCUCAGGUGCGAAAGCGUGGGGAGCAAACAGGAUUAGAUACCCUGGUAGUCCACGCCGUAAACGAUGUCGACUUGGAGGUUGUGCCCUUGAGGCGUGGCUUCCGGAGCUAACGCGUUAAGUCGACCGCCUGGGGAGUACGGCCGCAAGGUUAAAACUCAAAUGAAUUGACGGGGGCCCGCACAAGCGGUGGAGCAUGUGGUUUAAUUCGAUGCAACGCGAAGAACCUUACCUGGUCUUGACAUCCACAGAACUUUCCAGAGAUGAGAUUGGUGCCUUCGGGAACUGUGAGACAGGUGCUGCAUGGCUGUCGUCAGCUCGUGUUGUGAAAUGUUGGGUUAAGUCCCGCAACGAGCGCAACCCUUAUCCUUUGUUGCCAGCGGUCCGGCCGGGAACUCAAAGGAGACUGCCAGUGAUAAACUGGAGGAAGGUGGGGAUGACGUCAAGUCAUCAUGGCCCUUACGACCAGGGCUACACACGUGCUACAAUGGCGCAUACAAAGAGAAGCGACCUCGCGAGAGCAAGCGGACCUCAUAAAGUGCGUCGUAGUCCGGAUUGGAGUCUGCAACUCGACUCCAUGAAGUCGGAAUCGCUAGUAAUCGUGGAUCAGAAUGCCACGGUGAAUACGUUCCCGGGCCUUGUACACACCGCCCGUCACACCAUGGGAGUGGGUUGCAAAAGAAGUAGGUAGCUUAACCUUCGGGAGGGCGCUUACCACUUUGUGAUUCAUGACUGGGGUGAAGUCGUAACAAGGUAACCGUAGGGGAACCUGCGGUUG